GACGUAGGGGCGAGCGUUGUCCGGAAUUACUGGGCGUAAAGGGCGCGUAGGCGGCCGUUCAAGUCAGGUGUAAAAUACCCCGGGCUCAACCCGGGGAUAGCACUUGAAACUGGGCGGCUAGAGGGCAGGAGAGGGGAGUGGAAUUCCCGGUGUAGCGGUGAAAUGCGUAGAUAUCGGGAGGAAUACCAGUGGCGAAGGCGACUCUCUGGACUGACCCUGACGCUGAGGCGCGAAAGCGUGGGGAGCAAACAGGAUUAGAUACCCCGGUAGU
This 271-nucleotide ribosomal RNA is filed under the name uncultured bacterium. RNAcentral describes it as "partial 16S ribosomal RNA". It matches the Rfam family "Bacterial small subunit ribosomal RNA", at positions 524 to 794 of the family's 1533-position model. The record is from RNAcentral.